GGGUGCGAUCAUACCAGCACUAAUGCACCGGAUCCCAUCGGAACUCCGCAGUUAAGCGUGCUCGGGCGAGAGUAGUACUAAGUUGGGUGACCACUUGGGAAGUCCUCGUGUUGCACCCCUUU
Molecule: ribosomal RNA, 122 nt
Filed under: Citrullus lanatus (watermelon)
Lineage: Eukaryota; Viridiplantae; Streptophyta; Magnoliopsida; Cucurbitales; Cucurbitaceae
Source: RNAcentral